CAUCACUUAACAAAUGUUUUGCUUAGCAACAGAAAUAUUGGGUUCAAUUGUUGAGAACUACCUGCAGCAGACCUUAAAAACAGAUCAAUAAGAAUAUGGACAUGAUUGAUUUUAAGACACAUAACAUUAACUUAUGUUUCAAAGGCUAUCAUUUUGGGCUGCAAAUUUUGCCAAUAGGUUACAAUAAAGAGAUAGGAAGUCCAAUUUCUUGUACUCCUGUACUGAUCAUAUGGGUUUUUGUAUGCAACUAUGAUAGCCCAAUAUAACAACAUCAGCAGACACGUCUCAAAAUGAUCUGUACAAAAUUAGUCCACCAUUUAAUUGGAGACCUAUGCCAUUCACAUAGGCAUAUGUGAAGAUGUAGAAAAAAAUCUAGAUCUCACUGCUCUCCCCAUGUGGUUCACAUGUGGUGGUGAUAAUUGUUACUGUUAGUCGGGGGUCUUCAAACUUGGCCCUUUUAUAACUUGUGGACUUCAACUGCCAGAAUUCCUCAGCCAGGCAUGGUGGCUGAGGAAUUCUGGGAGUUGAAGUCCACAAGUCAUAAAAGGGCCAUGUUUGAAGACCCCUGCUGUUAGUAAUUGGGAGAUUUAAGCCUGAUAUCAGGAUAUUAAAUCAGAAAUGUCAGCAUAAUCAACUAUCUCUGAUCCUAACUCUAUAAUCCUGGAUUAUGAUCUUGAUACAGAAACAUAGCCUCCAAAUCAGUGAGAAUCUUGACAAAUAGCAGAGAAGCAGAGAAGUGCCUGGUUGCUUAAAGGUGUACCUUAAAGAUGAUGUCUACUUGGGAAUAUGUUUUUUCUUCUAAAUAGCCUGGCUUCUGCAUUUUAUUCCAGCCCAUUAUGUUUGGAGAGAUAUAGCCUCUUCUAGUAUAAAAGCUUUUUGUCUGAGGACAGGGCAAUGCUGGAACAACUUCCAUGACUUUGUGACUUUGAAUGUAUUGAAUUUAUUUCUUGCUUUAACUUCUUGAAUUAUUGCUGCAGUGCUUGAAUUCUGGAACAUUCCCCUCCCCAUUGAAUUACAUUGGCCUCAACCCUGCUGGGCGAUUGCAAAGCAUUGAAAAUCUGGAAGUGAAGAAUAUGAGGGUCAGGCAGUGGUGGGAUUCAGCCAGUUCACACCAGUUCAGCAGAACCGGUAGCUAAUUUUUUGUUGCCCAGGCCCAGAAUGGACUUCAGGAAGUGGCAUCCACACAGAGAACUGGUUGUUUACAUAUUUGAAUCCCACCACUGGAGGCAGGUGAUAAGAUGGCCCUCAUACUGUUGUCCUGAAGAUCACUUUAUCUUAUUCUUGGCAUUCAUAGUAAGUUCUUUAUAUUUUGUUGAAAAUGUUUUUAAUUGUUUUAAUGUGUUGUACGCUAGCCAAAGAUGCCUCUAUGAGAUAUAAGAUGAAUGAAUGAAUGAAUGUAUUAAUUAUUGACUUGACAUCAUCUUGAACAUUGAGAAGCUUUUCUGCCAAAUUACUGAAUCUAUUCUUCAUACUGAACUUCACUAACAAGUCUGGAUGAUUUCUGCUUUUGUUUACAGAUUCCACUGAGUUGAUUUGGGUUGGCUGUGAUUCUAGAGUACAUGACUAUUUAUUAGUCUGUCAUUUGAACCCUAGAGCAGCAGAAGAUGAAGAGAAGAAAGCCUAUCAAAAAUAAUAUAUAUUGGCAGAAGGAAUGCUAUGGUCUAAAGAUAAAUCAAAGCACGUGUAUUAACCAAUCUGUGCUUUGAUGUCUUCUGCUAAUGUGGCAGUUAUAUUUGUAAUUUGAAUGUUUGCAAUUUUCUGGGUUAAAGACAGUGCUUGUUAAAGAUCACAGACUCAAAAUGAGGACUGAAGAUAUUUAUUUUUUUUUUGCAAGAUCUAAUAAAAUGCUGGACAUGAUGAUAUGAAAAGGCUAAGCAGGCCUGAAGACAUCUAGCCUCUCAGGAAUGAACCCAUUAGACCUCUGGCAACUGCUCAACCUUAGUGAACCGUGCAAACCAGCAUCUGCAUUUCCUGUGUUGGAUGAGGAGAACACAGCUCUGUUUUUCUGUCCUGGCCACUUUUUACAGAAGCACAAUUGAGAGCAUUUUAACAAACUGUAUUACUGUCUGGUUGGUGGCAUCAGUGCCUCAGAUAGAAAGCCCACACAAAGAGUAGUAAGGACAGCUGAGAAGAUUGUAGGAAGCUGGUAUACUUGCUGGUAUUCAGGAUGCUGCUUAUAAGCGCUAUGUGCUUAGAGCUCCCACUUUAUGGUCUGUUUCUGUUGUUCCCCUUUGGGAG
This is a long non-coding RNA of Crotalus tigris (Tiger rattlesnake), 2238 nucleotides long. RefSeq lists it as uncharacterized. The record is from RefSeq and is a predicted model, not a curated record. Lineage: Eukaryota; Metazoa; Chordata; Lepidosauria; Squamata; Viperidae. The transcript has 3 exons.